RNAcentral lists this long non-coding RNA (212 nucleotides) under Physcomitrium patens. Its description in RNAcentral is "long non-coding RNA (PPAT_LNC003269)". Lineage: Eukaryota; Viridiplantae; Streptophyta; Bryopsida; Funariales; Funariaceae. The record is from RNAcentral.
AUCGUAAACCAAAUCCUAAUUAAAUCUUAGAUCUUAAACAAACUCUUAACAAAUCCUAGAGCAGAAUGGAACCUUAACAACUAAUGAUCAAAUCAUUGAUAUCAAAUCAAUCGCACUUACCAAUUGCAAAAAAUGCAAGAUAAUCUAAUCAAGUGGUUGGAUGGUCUCCUACUCCAAUCUAAAUGCUCAACUUUUAGUGUCAAUAUCUCUUU